Molecule: ribosomal RNA, 465 nt
Filed under: uncultured bacterium
Lineage: Bacteria
Description: partial 16S ribosomal RNA
Rfam family: Bacterial small subunit ribosomal RNA
Source: RNAcentral
GACGAACGCUGGCGGCGUGCUUAACACAUGCAAGUCGAACGGAAAGGCCCUGCUUGCCGGGUACUCGAGUGGCGAACGGGUGAGUAACACGUGGGUGAUCUGCCCUGCACUUCGGGAUAAGCCUGGGAAACUGGGUCUAAUACCGGAUAGGAGCCAUUUUUAGUGUGAUGGUUGGAAAGUUUUUUCGGUGUAGGAUGAGCUCGCGGCCUAUCAGCUUGUUGGUGGGGUAAUGGCCUACCAAGGCGGCGACGGGUAGCCGGCCUGAGAGGGUGGACGGCCACAUUGGGACGGAGAUACGGCCCAGACUCCUACGGGAGGCAGCAGCGGGGAAUAUUGCACAAUGGGCGCAAGCCUGAUGCAGCGACGCCGCGUGGGGGAUGACGGCCUUCGGGUUGUAAACUCCUUUCGCUAGGGACGAAGCUUUCUGUGACGGUACCUAGAUAAGAAGCACCGGCUAACUACGUG